RNAcentral lists this long non-coding RNA (361 nucleotides) under Equus asinus (donkey). RNAcentral describes it as "lncRNA (ENSEASG00005026423.1)". Lineage: Eukaryota; Metazoa; Chordata; Mammalia; Perissodactyla; Equidae. The record is from RNAcentral.
UCGCCUUCUCCUGUGCUUGGGGUCUGAGAAGCUUGGAUUUCAGAGAAGAGUGUCCACAGAGCAGAGAUCUCACAGAAUUUUCAGGAUGCAGGAGGGGAAGAGGGGCUCCUGUGCAUUUUCUCCCACACGCACUGCUGAGUGAUAAAGGCCCAGGGCCCUGACAUAAUAAAAUUUAUGUUUUGGAGGAUCCCCCCGGGCAGCUUCACGGCCGGUGGAUCAGAGAGGAUUGAAUGUGGCCAACGCACCAAAGAAACAGAGAUGAGCAGAAUGGAUGCAGAGGGAGGUUGAUGACCUUGUUGGAGGCCCUGGAUUCAACUGCACCUGAAGCCAGACCCAGCUGAAACUUCCCGGGACAUAAGCC